This is a long non-coding RNA of Gasterosteus aculeatus aculeatus (three-spined stickleback), 1502 nucleotides long. The record is from Ensembl. NCBI's taxonomy places the organism in Eukaryota, Metazoa, Chordata, Actinopteri, Perciformes, Gasterosteidae.
GCUUCAUACUGAGCUGCUCUGAGCUGUCUCUGCCUCUCUGUUUGUCUUCGCUAGCAGUCAGCAUACACCUGUGUGUGCGUGUGCGUGCGUGCGUGGGAGUGUGUGUUGCACUUACUGCUCUCUCCCACUCCCACAGGGUUGUUUAUCAAUGCGGCCGUGUUCGCAGCCUGUGCAGAAAUCAGCUGGCGAGGAGCAGAGCCGACCCGGUGGACUCCGAGUAACAUGAACUCAGAGCAAAGGAAUUGUGCUUGGAGAGUUUCUGCCUCCAUCUUAAGACGAAACAACUUGGAGGAACACACUCGCCCGGCUGGAAUGAAGGACUGCGCACGGGCAGACAAGCGUGGAAAGAAGGGUGUCCGUGUGAACUCCGGUCUUGGAUGGAAAAGCACAACCCGCGUUCCCACCGGGUUCUUGAUUAAUGCCAAAGCUUUGGCCUACACUUCUCCUCCAGCCUGACUCCAUCUCAUUCCAGAGGAUGUCUGACCAUCAAUUCCCUGUUGAUCUCUCUCUCUUCGUUUUGUCUGGCCACGUCCUCCCCUCCUCUGUCCCUCUGCUGGGCCGACCGGCGCAGACACACACACAGAGGACUGCGGCAGCCUCGGCCAUCACGGUCAGCUGGGUGAGUUCUUCCCUUCUCUCCUUCCUCGCAUCUUGGCUCAUCGCCCUGCCGACCUCCUUUUCUUCCUCCUCCUCCUCCUUCAUCUCACAGGCAAUCAGAUCUCAUUUUGUCUUCCUCACGAACAGGCUUAGCCUCCAUGCAGCCCCGAGCCGCGUGAUUGACAGGUGCGGUCCCAGAGGACCGACCAGCCUGCCGCUGUCAGGAGAUGUGAUUGCUCAUAGGGAGAAUAUAAGUUGUAAGGAGCUUUUGGUAUUUUUUUAACGACGGAGGGCAAUUUUAAUCCGGCUGUGCCGCUCUGCUCGCCGUCUGACUGGCAGCACUGCGCAUGUGCAUGGUGCAGCAUUUUGUGUUUUUUUUUUUAAUGUUUUUUUUAAGUGGAGAAUGAAAUGUGUUGUGCUAUUGAUAAUCAUGCUCCGAUUUGGCCGAGCAAGGCCGCGAAAUACGCCACGACAGAGCCACUCUCCUGAGCAUCAUGCAAUGAUCAAAUGCCAUCCCCCUUGUUGUGUGUGUGUGUGUGUGUGUGUGUGUAUGUGUGUGUGUGUGAGCCCAUCCAGGCGUGACUACAGCACACGUGCGUUCACUUGAAAUAAGAUGACUUGUGGUUAAUGUUUGUAUUAACAGCGCGUGCGAUGUGAUUCACGGUACGUAUCGGUAUCCGCCUACCCGCAGAAUACCACAAUGCUUAUUGUCACACAACAUGAAAAUGCGAUGCAUGAAGUAAAGCAUGUACGGCAGGUGCGCGCGGAUCUGACCCACCAAGACCAGCGAGUGAACUUAUGGCUAAAGUGAGUCUUAGGUCUUAGGCGCAGCACAAAUCCAUGGAGAGAGGUAGCUGCCAUUGUCUGCUCGAGUCUCAGCCAUGCGGCACAUUAUGCACUCUGUG